This 48-nucleotide non-coding RNA is filed under the name Schistosoma mansoni. Lineage: Eukaryota; Metazoa; Platyhelminthes; Trematoda; Strigeidida; Schistosomatidae. The record is from RNAcentral.
AUCCAGCUGACGAGCCCCAAAAAGGACAAAACGCGCGUCAAAUUGGAU